AGGAAAGGGAUCACGAGUCCCCUCGGAUCGUGCUGGACAUCCUGUGGGUGGCUUGGCAGCGCACUAUUCCGCUUUUUUCUUUUUCCCCCAAUGGGCAUAUUUUCCUUUUAUAAUCAGGAAAAAAAAAAUCAAGUUAAAGAAAAGGACACAUGUGUUUGUGCCUCAGCCCAGGCCAGGGAAGGCUGGUGGUCUUCCUUGAUGUGGAAUGCUCAGGGGCAGCGACAGUGAAGCCUGUGGUCUUUGAGGGUUCUUGGAAACCCCCUGACAAUCUCCUUCCAGAGCUUUUCUCUGCUAAAAUGUAGAGGGUUUAUGUUUUCCUUACAGUUCCUGGCAAAGUACUAAAAGGAGCCCUACCCAGUUCGCUGCUUGGGUGGACCUUCUGCUGACACCCCAGGCAUGUACUAUCCCCAAAGCAAGUAACUAUCCCGCCCACCCCCGACAUCAAGGCAGCUCGCCAAAGACAAUUUCUCUCAGGGACUGGCAUUUCUGCUUCCUCUUUCUCCUGGCUGAGAGACUGCGAAGUCUUGGAGAGAUGACUGGGAUUUCCACAGAAUCCUCAAUCUGAAGAGAAUAGGAAGCGAGUCUCACUGGAAUUGGCUGUGAAGGAUGUCCAGCAACCACUGUCCUUUGGUUCCAUCUCUGCCCAGCCAGAGCAUCAUGUUAGAGCUGAGUUUAUUGGGUGUAACCUUUGUAAGUGGGUGACCCUCUGGCUCCCCUUUGGAGGCAGGUUUACUGAGAAACCACUGAAAGCAAACACCUCAGAGGCUCUCCUUUCCACAACCUCGUCCACGGCCGUAGAAGGGACUCCCCGCACUUGGUCAUAUGCUUUUGUGAAAUCUGCCAACAUCCACCAAAGAAUUGAUGCUUUUGAACUGUGGUGUUAGAGAAGACACUUGAGAGUCCCUUGGACAACAAGAAGAUCAAACCAAUCAAUCCUAAAAGAAAUCAGUCCCAUAUAUUCAUUGGAGGGACUGAUGCUGAAGCUGAAGCUCCAACACUUUGGCCACCUGAUGCGAAGAGCCAACUCACUGGAAAAGACGCUGAUGCUGGGAGAAAGAUCGAAGGCAGAAGGAGAAAGAAGGGGGAGACAGAGGAUGAGAUGGUUGGAUGGCAUCACUGACUCAAUGCGCAUGAAUGUGAGCAAGCUCUGGGAGAUGGUGAAGGACCUGGAAGCCUGGUGUGCUGCAGUCCAUGGAGUUGCAAGGAAUCGGACACAACUUAGCAACUGAACACCACCACCAUCCGUGAGUCUUUGAAGACGAACUUCUUAAAAGCUGAGUGUGCUCUACUUUUCUUCCUACGCUGUCUGCCCCGCCUGCGCACCCCUCUUAUUUCCUUAACUUCUCCCUGCUUCCUCCCUCCCCAAACCCACAAUCUAAGUUCUAAACCUCCAUUUCUUGUCUGAGCUUCCACUUCUUGAGGACUUUGUCGCUGUCCCAGUUUAGCAUCUUCUACUGCUGCACAGCGUCUCGUGUCACGGUGGAUCCCUGCUGAGACAGACACCUUCAGAGUGUGGGCAGGAUAGUUAGCAGCAUCUCUAGCCUCUACCUUGGAGUCCUUUGACCUGUACUCUUGAGAGUCUGUUGGACAGCUAGGAGAUCAAACCAGUCCACCCUAAAGGAAGUCAACCCUGAACAUUCACUGGAAGGACUGAAGCGGAAGCUGAAGCUCUGAUCCUUUGGCUACCUGAUGCGAAGAGCUGACAUAUUGGAAAAGACCCUGAUGUUGGGAACGACUAAAGGCAAGAGAAGAAGCGGGGUGACAGAGAAUGAGAUGGUUGGAUGGCAUCACCGACUCAAUGGACAUGAGUCUGAGUAGACUCAGGGAAGGAGUGAUGGACAGGGAGGCCUAGCGUGCUGCAGUCCACGGGGUCACAAAGCAUCAGGCAUGACUGAGCGACUGAACAGCAACUGGUUUCUACUUGCUUGAUGCCAAUUCUCAUCAACUCUUGGGUAAAAUGGGCUUUGGAAACUAGAGAUUUGGAAUUUCCCUCAGGCUUGGAAGCAUUAUAUGCCAAGGAGGUGUGGGGAGGCACCAGCAGCAUCUGCUACAGUUAACCCCUAUAGCACUCAGAUGGGCUUCCCAGGUAGCACUAGCAGUAAAGGAUCUGCUUGGCAGAGCAGGAGACACGAAAAACAAGGGUUCGAUCCCUCGAUCGGGAAGGUCCCCUGGAGAAGGAAGUGGCAACCCACUCCAGUAUUUUUGCCUGAAAAACUCCAUGGACGGAGGAGCCUGGCAGGGUACAGUCCAUGGGGUUGUGAAGAGUCAGACAUGACUGAGCACACACACAGCACUCAGAACCAUUUCUGUCCUACAUUAACUCACUUCAUGCUGUACUGGUUCUUCCAGGUGAUGGCUGCUCACGAUUGAAAAAGAAUUUAAAAAAUCAUCAUGAGAGAGAGGUUAGGGGGACAGCUAUAUUUCCUGUUUCUUAAGAUGGUCUUAAGGCCAUAUUAGACAUUCAUCUUCUCCCUCCUCUUCCACCCAUUUGAGAUUCUCCUCACUCUUGGUGAGCAAUUUUUUUCUUUUUGGCCACAACAUGUGACCUGCGGAACUUCCAUGACUGGGGAUGGAAUCUGUUCCCCCUGCAAUAGAAGGACAGGAAUUGUAGCCUCCAGAGUUAUUUUAACUCGACCACCAGGGCAGCCCUCAUCUAGCACUUCUGGUCUGAACUGCUCACCUGGGGGGGUGACCCAGACUGUACCCCCAUAACUGGGGCCUUACCAGGCUGUCAUGGUAAUUAUCCACUCCCAGUCAUGACUUGACAUGAAAGCAUGAAGACACGCCCCAGGGAAUUCCCUGUGUUCUGCAAACACUCCUUCUUACCUCAUUAUGUAGACGUGACUGUAUCUCCUCAGAAUAAUUGGAGAUGAAUUACUCUGGCCUACAGCACUUCCCUUUUCUGUCUUCUGGUUUAUUGGCACGUUGCUUAGUUGCCAAGCUGUAUCCGACUCUUUUGAAACCCCACGGACUGUAGCCCACCAGGCUCCUCUGUCCAUGGGAUUCCCCAGGCGAGAAUACUGUAGUGCGUUGCCAUUUCCUUCUCCAGGGGAUCUUCCCAACUCAGGGACUGAACCCAAGUCUCCUGCAUCACAGGUGGACUUUAUUGCUGAGCCACCAGGGAAGCCCCUAUUGGCAUGAGGAGCUCAGAAUAACCAGGUUUUAGCCACACAGUGGAGUUCUAUAUCCUUUUGCAGAACACCUCCUUAUCCCCCAUCAGGAGAUUGAGACUUCUAGUCCAGCCAAACCUGAAGCGCAGAUUCCUCAGGGAGACCCUGGGAGUGGUGAUGAGAGAUGCCACUAGACAUCCAUCCCUUGGUUCCCAGAACUUUGGGGAUUCUACCAAUUGGAAUCCAGCACCCCCAUCCCUCA
This is a long non-coding RNA of Bos taurus (domestic cattle), 3372 nucleotides long. NCBI's taxonomy places the organism in Eukaryota, Metazoa, Chordata, Mammalia, Artiodactyla, Bovidae. The record is from Ensembl.